This 440-nucleotide ribosomal RNA is filed under the name uncultured bacterium. RNAcentral describes it as "partial 16S ribosomal RNA". It matches the Rfam family "Bacterial small subunit ribosomal RNA", at positions 338 to 795 of the family's 1533-position model. The record is from RNAcentral.
CCUACGGGUGGCAGCAGUGGGGAAUAUUGCACAAUGGGGGAAACCCUGAUGCAGCAACGCCGCGUGGGUGAAGGAGCGUUUCGGCGCGUAAAGCCCUAUCGGCAGGGAAGAAAAUGACGGUACCUGACCAAGAAGCCCCGGCUAACUACGUGCCAGCAGCCGCGGUAAUACGUAGGGGGCGAGCGUUAUCCGGAUUUACUGGGUGUAAAGGGGGCGCAGACGGCAAUGCAAGCCAGGAGUGAAAGCCCGGGGCUUAACCGCGGGACUGCUUUUGGAACUGGAUGGCUGGAGUGCAGGAGGGGCAGGCGGAAGUCCUAGUGUAGCGGUGAAAUGCGUAGAUAUUAGGAGGAACACCGGUGGCGAAGGCGGCUUGCUGGACUGUGACUGACGUUGAGGCCCGAAGGCGUGGGGAGCAAACAGGAUUAGAUACCCGUGUAGUC